CGCAUUGGCGCGUGCCAGUGGUACCAGUGGUGGCGUUCCAGCAAGCUCGUGAACUUCACCAGGAACACAGCUGAGCAUUUUCAGCUCUAGAUAAAAUACCUGGAAUUACUGCACGUAUAUCCGCGACAUGGUGCAGGAUUUCGAAAAGAAGACAUCUGAGGCAAGAAUGCUUCCACCACCAUUUGACACGUGCUUCAUGGUCUCUACUGUGCCUAUGACAAGAAGGGAGCACAAACGAAGUUGAAGUUGUGAAGAUAACAACCGGUAUCACAAGGCCACAAGUCAAUGUGGACGACUUUAUUGAUAUGAUUUCAGCUGCUUUCAGAAACCGCAGCAGCAGACAUAACUGAUCACAACUUUUGUUCUUCUUAUGAGAAAAGUAUUUUCCUAUGCCAACUGUGUAAGAAGUCCUGCUUACUAAAGUGUUAAAAAAUGUCAAUACAGAAACUUG
Long non-coding RNA from Dermacentor silvarum, 451 nucleotides. RefSeq lists it as uncharacterized. Lineage: Eukaryota; Metazoa; Arthropoda; Arachnida; Ixodida; Ixodidae. The record is from RefSeq and is a predicted model, not a curated record. The transcript is spliced from 4 exons.